GUGGGGAAUCUUAGACAAUGGGGGAAACCCUGAUCUAGCCAUGCCGCGUGAGCGAUGAAGGCCUUAGGGUUGUAAAGCUCUUUCAGCUGGGAAGAUAAUGACGGUACCAGCAGAAGAAGCCCCGGCUAACUCCGUGCCAGCAGCCGCGGUAAUACGGAGGGGGCUAGCGUUGUGCGGAAUUACUGGGCGUAAAGCGCGCGUAGGCGGACCAGAAAGUUGGAGGUGAAAUCCCAGGGCUCAACCUUGGAACUGCCUUCAAAACUCCUGGUCUGGAGUUCGAGAGAGGUGAGUGGAAUUCCGAGUGUAGAGGUGAAAUUCGUAGAUAUUGGGAAGAACGCCGGUGGCGAAGGCGACCACCUGGCUCGGUACUGACGCUGAGGCGCGACAGCGUGGGGAGCAAACAGGAUUAGAUACCCUUGUAGUCC
RNAcentral lists this ribosomal RNA (425 nucleotides) under uncultured bacterium. RNAcentral describes it as "partial 16S ribosomal RNA". It matches the Rfam family "Bacterial small subunit ribosomal RNA", at positions 354 to 796 of the family's 1533-position model. The record is from RNAcentral.